UUAAGGUUUUGGGCUAGAACUUUGGGCUAGGUUUAGGUAUUUGGAUUGGGUUUCGGGUUUGGGCCUAUUGUAAGUGGGUUUGAGUGUAUUUAUUUCUUCUUGUGUGUUUAGUUCUUUUUAAUAGUUUGGCCGGGCAAUUUUGGGCCAUAACAGUUGCCCCUCUUUGCUCGUUGUCGUGUAACGAGAAUGAAGCAAAGACCACAAAAAGACCAAUUUUUCCUGGUCUUGCCACAUCUCGACCUCUUUAUGCUCAUCUUCUUCAAGUAGCCCCAUUCCAACCCACUGCAUCUUCAGGGGUAUAGAGAUUGUGUUUUCAAUCUACUCUAUGUCCUCAGUCCGCUCCAUUGUGACUUCGAGAAGCCUAAUACCCUACUGCUUAGGGGGUUAAGGCUUGCUGUCUUCGAUUUGUUCCACUACUGUUUAGGGGAGAUCUGUAUUUUCCAGCAUGUUACCCUACUGCUUAAGGGGUUAAGGCUUACUGUCUUCGAUCUGCUCCACUACUAUUUAGGAGAGAUCUGUAUUUUCCAACCUAUUACCCUAUUACUUAAGAGGUUAAGGCUUACUGUCUUUGUUCUGCUCCACUACUGUUUAGGGGAGAUCUGUAUUUUCUAGCCUGUUACCCUACUGCUUAGGGAGUUAAGGCUCGUAUCUUCAACCUGCUCUCUUGCUACCUCAGAGAGAUAAGGUCAGUGGCUAAAAUCUUCUCCAUAGCCGAUACAUGGAGAUAAGCUCGCCAUCUUUGAUCUGCUCCAUAGUCAAUACUUGAAGAUAAGAUUUGUAAUUUUUAGCCUGUUACCCUACUGCUUAGGGGGUUAAGACUCGUAUCUUCAACCUGCUCUCUUGCUACCUUAGAGAGAUAAGGUCGGUGGCUAAAAUCUGCUCCAUAGUCGAUACAUGGGGAUAAGACUCGCCAUCUUUGAUCUGAUCCAUAGCCGAUACAUGGAGAUAAGAUCUGUAAUUUUUAGCUUGUUACCCUACUGCUUAGGGGGUUAAGGCUCGUAUCUUCAAUCUGCUCUCUUGUUAUCUCAGAGAGAUAAGGCUGGUGGCUUAAAUCUGCUCCAUAGCCGAUACAUGGAGAUAAGACUCGCCAUUUUCGAUCUACUCCAUAGCCGAUACAUGGAGAUAAGAUCUGCAAUUUUCAGCCUGUUACCCUACUGCUUAGGGGGUUAAGGCUCGUAUCUUUAACCUGUUCUCUUGCUACCUCAGAGAGAUAAGGCUGGUGGCUAAAAUCUACUCCAUAGCCGAUACAUGGAGAUAAGACUCGCCAUUUUUGAUCUACUCUAUAGUCGAUACAUGGAGAUAAGAUCUGUAAUUUUUAGUCUGUUACCCUACUGUUUAAGGGGUUAAGGCACGUGACUUCACCGAUACCACUGCACUGUCCUCUGAGGAACAUGAUCUGUAAAAUCGAUUUCAUGUAUCUAUGCUUAUGCCAAAUAAUUAGGAUGCUAUGAUCGAAAUGAAUCAAAUGCUCUUAGCUAGAUGUGAUAUUUAUGUCAAAUAAUUAGGAUGCUAUAAUCAAAAUGAAUCAAAUGCUCCUAACUAGAUGUACUAUGAAUUUCAUUGGUAUGAAUGCAGAAUGUCAUGAAGAAUGCAUUUUCUAACGUUUAAACUAUUAUUGCUCGCUAUUUGUCAUUGACAUAUUUCUUCUCGUUCAACCGAUAUCUUUAACAGAUAUCUGAAGCAGUAGUCUUAACUUAAACCUUUUAACUUCUUAAGUAACUCUAACCCUUAAGCUUGGUGGGUUCUGAAUAAUUGACCUAUUUUGGGUUCUUACACUACUUAGAAGCUCCUAGAGUAAUAUUCAGAACUCCUUUUAUGAAAGUGUUAUUAGUCCAUUGAUCAAUAUUUCAAUAGGAAAUGCUUUGAAAAAUAUUAUCAAAAUGAGCAAAAUGAAACUUUAUUGAGAACGAAGCUCAAAGUAGAAAAUCAAUCAAGAUAACAGAUUUUACUAAGGUACAAAAGAUGUAUAAGAUGGAAAAUUGGUGCCCCAGAUAUUGCAGCAUGAGCUUCUCUAUUCGGACUGUUCAAAAACCCCUGGGAGCCAAAUGUGUGUUUAGGAGGUCCAAAGUAUUUCGUUGAUGCCUUCAAGACGUGAUGUUCCUCCCUCUUGUUAAUUCUGGUAGAAUAAGGUCGCAACCUGCCCCAUUCUUGAUCACAAUUUAAGCUGCCCUUUUUUAGGUUUUCGACUCAAAAACUCAUUUGGUCUCAAAGCACCCUUUGCAGGUUUUCGCCUUAGCCUCUCCAUUUUUUUUUAUUUUUUUCAAAGCGCCCCUUUUCGGGUUUUCGCCUUGGCCUUUCCUUUUUCAGGUGAAGUACUUCUUGACUGAAUAUAAAUUUACCGGGUUGGGAAGGUUUUUACCAUCCAUUUAUACUAAUAUCAGUGCCCCUCCAGAAAAAGCCUUCUUCAUUACAUAAGGUCCUUCCCAGUUUGGAAUCCAUUUCCCUCGAAAAUCCUUUUGCAUAGGGAGAAUCUUUUUCAAUACCAAGUCCCCUUCCUGGAAUACUCUUGGGUGAACUUUCUUGUUGUAAGCUUGCAUCAUUCGUUUCUGGUACAUUUGCCCAUGACGGAUAGCCUUCAGCCUCUUUUCUUCAAUCAAGUUCAGCUGGUCGUACCAGGAUUGGACCCAUUCUGAUUCAUCUAGCUUUAAUUCAGAUAAAACCCGAAGAGAAGGAAUCUCGACUUCAAUAGGCAAAACUGCCUCUAUCCUAUAGACCAACGAGAAAGGUGUUACCCCGGUAGAAGUUCUGAUCGACGUUUGAUAGGCAUAGAGAGCAAAUGGAAGCUUUUCAUGCCAAUACUUGUAGGUCUCAGCCAUUUUCCCCACGAUCUUUUUUAUAUUUUUAUUAGCCGCCUCAAUUGCCCAAUUCAUCUUUGAGCGAUAUGGUGAUGAGUUGUGGUGCUUAAUUUUGAAUUGACUGCAGACCUCCAUUAUCACGUUGUUGUUCAAAUUUAAUGCAUUGUCAGAUAUGAUCCUCUCUGGCAUGCCAUAUCGACAUAUGAUUUCUUUUUUCAAGAACUUGCUAACCGCCGACUUCGUGACGUUGGCGUAUGAAGUAGCCUCCACCCACUUGGUGAAAUAAUCGAUGACCACAAAGAUGAAACAAUGUUCAUUAGAAGCCUUCGAUGAAAUCGGCCCAAUGACGUCUAUGCCCAACAUUGAGAAAGGCCAUGGGGAAGUCAUAACAUGAAGAGGUGAAAGAGGCACAUGAAUUUUGUCACCAUAAAUUUGGCACUUAUAGCAUUUCUUGGCAUAGUUGAUACAAUCUCCUUCCAUUGUAGACCGGUAAUACCCGAAUCUCAUGAUUUGUCUGGCCAUUGUGAACCCGUUGGCAUGCAUCCCGCAGACACCUUCAUGGACUUCUUCCAGGAUUUUCUUUGCUUCAACAGUGUUAACACAUUUUAGCAGCACUUGGUCUUUCCUUCUUUUAUACAGGAUUUCCCCGUCUAAGUCAUAGUCAACGGCCACUCUCCUCAACGUUCUUUUAUCAUUUUCAGUUGCCUGAUUAGGAUAUAAACGAUUUUUCAUAUAUCGUAGAAUAUCCAAAUACCAAGGAUGAUUAUCCCUCUCUUUCUUUUUGUCGAUAUUGCAGCAAUGUGCUGGAGCAUCACAAAUACUCAUCAGGAUCGGCUUCAUAUCCUCUUGUUUAUUUGCUAUGAUCAUGGAAGAUAAUGUAGCCAGCUCAUCAGCCAUCUGAUUUUCAUCACGCGGGAGGUAAUGAAAAGUGAUAUCGUUAAACACCUUGAUUAAAUCCAGGACCUGCUCUUGGUAGUUGAUCAAUUUUGGGUCUCUUGUUUCCCAUUCACCUUUGAGCUGAUAGAUCACCGGUGCAGAAUCCCCGUACACCUCUAACACCUUGAUUUUGAGCUCUACGGCCGCACGAAUACCCAUGAUACAUGCUUCGUACUUUGCCAUAUUAUUUGUGCAAUCAAAAUUUAAUUUGCAAGUGAAUGGAUAAUGAUCUCCGUUUGGGAAUAUCAUGACUGCCCCAAUUCCAUUACCCACGGUGUUUGAUGUGCCAUCAAAAUUCAAUUUCCAAUGAUGAUCUUCUGGAGUGUCUUCUUGGGUGGUUGCCACAUACAUUAGAUCUUCGUUGGGAAAAUCAAAGUUCAAAGGCUCAUAAUCUUCUAAAGCUCUACUAGCUAGAAAAUCUGCUACUACACUCCCUUUUACUACCUUCUGGUUCACAUAAACUAUGUCGAAUUCAGAAAGUAGAAUUUGCCAUCAGGUCAUCCUUCCAUUCAGAGUGGCUAACUCCAUUAUGUACUUAAGGGGAUCUAAUUUCGAGAUUAACCAAGUCGUAUGGUACAACAUGUAAUGCCUCAAUCUCCGGGCUAUCCAGACCAAAGCGCAACAUAGCUUCUCAAUUGGCGAAUAUCUCAUCUCACACUCAGUGAAUUUCUUACUGAGGUAGUAUAUCGCCUUUUCUUUCUUUCCUGUCUCAUCGUGUCGGCCAAGCACACAUCCCAUUGAAUGGUCAAAUACUGUCAAAUACAAUAUCAAUGGUCUACUCAGGUUGGGUGAUGUUAACACCGGGGGAUUGGACAGAUAUUGUUUAACCCUGUCAAAGGUCUUCCAGCACUCUUUAUCCCACACACCUGGGUUGUGUUUCUUGAGAAGACAAAAUAUGGGGUCGCAUUUCUCGGUUAGUUGUGAAAUAAACCGGGCGAUGUAGUUUUGUCUUCCCAGAAAACCUCGAACUUCCUUCUGAGUGCGUGGCAGGGGUAAUUGCUGUAUAGCCUUAACUUUGUCGGGGUCAACCUUGAUUCCUUUUUCACUGACGACAAAAUCAAGUAGCUUUCCUGAUCUAGCUUUAAAAAUACAUUUUGUUGGAAUGAGUUUUAGCUGGAACUUUCUCAGCCGCAAGAACAAUUUUCUCAAAACUUGUAUGUGCUCUUUUUCUGUUCGAGAUUUUGCAAUCAUAUCGUCAAUGUAAACCUCAAUCUCCUUGUGCAUCAUGUCAUGAAACAAGGUUACAAUAGCUCUUUGAUAUGUUGCUCCCGCAUUUUUUAACCCAAAUGGCAUUACCUUAUAACAAAAUGUUCCCCAUAAGGUUAUGAACGUGGUUUUUUCCAUGUCUGCAGGAUGCACUUUAUUUGAUUGUAUCCCGAGAAACCAUCCAUGAAAAAGAACAAUGAGUAACCCGCCGUAUUAUCCACCAGAGUGUCAAUAUGGGGCAGCGAGAAGUUUUCUUUUGGGCUAGCCUUGUUUAGGUCUCUGUAAUCUACACACAUCCACACUUUUCUAUCUUUCUUAAGGACGGGGACCACAUUGGUUACCCAUUCCGAGUAAUUCACCACUUGUAAGAACCCAGCAUCAAAUUGUUUCCUGACCUCUUUUCUUAUUUUUACUACAACAUCGGGUCUCAUCCUUCGGAGCUUCUGUUGAACAGGCUUGCACUCUUCUUUUAUAGGGACUCGAUGUACUACAAUAUCAGCGCUUAACCUAGGCAUGUCUUGAUACGACCAUACAAAGACGUCUUUGAACUCUUGUAGUAGUUUAAUGAGGUCUCACCUUGUUUCCUUGGUUAUGUAAGUCCCAAUUUUCACUUCUUUCCUUUCUUCCAAGGUUACAUUCUCGGUUGUCUCUUUAUGGGGUAGAAUUUGUUUCUCUUCCCGUUCUACCAUCCUUAACAAAUCUGGAGAUAACCCACAAUCUUCGUCAUCUUCAAAAUCUUGAGAUCCUUCUAAACACAUAUCUCGCUCGAAAGGAGAUUCUGGGUCCGUAACAGUGUCGCUCGUACCGUUGAUAUCUAAAGACCUAUUGUAACACGAAAGAAAUAUCCAAAGAAUGAAUCUAAGAGUGGCUUACUUGUAUGGUAUGAUUAUGAAUGUAACGAGAAUAUUAAAGAAUAUUUGCUCAGAAUGAGACAAAAAAAUGCAUUUCUUAUUGAAAAUAAAGGUGUUUGAACAUGAGCCUAUUUCACAAAAGAUUCCUAUUGUUUCUAGGCUUAAACAAUAAGUGUGUUCUGAGCAUUACUCUGUAUUAGCUCUAUGAACUACAGGAAUUUCUUCUACGGUCCAAUUGUUUAGAACACUGCCAGGCUCAUAAGGGUGAAUGCCUGAUAAAUCUCCUUCCAUUCACUCCCUCCUCAGAUAGGGGGUUGAUGCUCAAACUGCCGAUCAAAUCUUCAGCUGUCCCUUCUCUUAUCAUCUCUGAUUCAAGAUGAAUAAUUCCCCCUGACACGAAUGUAUUAAAUAUAUGGAGAAAGGUCAUCGACCCUCACUUGACUUCUGCCCCACUCAGUCAUGCCCUUCGUCUAUCCUGUUUCCUCUCCAACUCUUCCUUCCUUUGUCUAGCGUUUGGUCUAUACCCUAAACCAAAAUGAUCCCGCUUGCCAACUAAACCGACACUUUGACCCGUCUGUGAAGGAAUUUUUCAAGUCUCCUUUCAGGCAAUGCCCCUUUUCCUACCAUCAGUCGGAAGCUCAUCCUCAUAGCUUCGGAUAUUUUCGGCAUUGGGAUCUUACCUCCUUCGAUAAUGAAAGUCGUGUUGACAAAUUCUAAUGACCAAAAGGAACACUUAAUUGCUUCAUCAUCAUUCUCGAUGUACGGCGCGUCACUAGUAACAGAGGCGAUAAUGUCCUCCUCUGUAUUUAUGGUUAUCAGCUGACCCUCCGUUACCAACUUCAGCUUCUGGUGCAAUGAUGAUGGUACCACUCCCGCUAAGUGAAUCCAAGGCCUCGUCAGUAAACAAUUAUAAGAGGGCCUGAUGUCCAUCACGAGAAAGUCUACCUCGUACAUGUUGGGUCCGAUCGAAAGGGGGAUCUCAAUUCUACCCAUUACUUUCCUCUCGCUGCCAUCAAACGCUCUCACUAUGUUCUGGCAUGUCUUCAUAUGAGAGCUAUCUAUAGGUAAACUGUUCAAUGUGGGUAGCGGCAAUACAUUCAGCGUCGACCCAUUGUCAAUCAAUACCCCCAGUAGUGUAUACUCGUUGCACUUAGUAGUGAUGUGCAAAACCUUGGUGGACCCCAUGCCACAUGGCGGUAUCUCAUCAUCGCUGAAAGAAAUGAAGUUAUCGGCACUUAUAUUGCUGACAAGAUGGUCUAGCUUGUUCACCGAAAUGUCAUCAGCGACAUAAGUUUCAUUCAACACCUUCAUCAACGUAUUACAGUGUACCUCUGAAUUUUGGAGCAAAGCUAGUACCGAGGUGCGUGCUGGCUGCUUGUACAACUGUUCCACAACACUAUACUCACUGUGUUUCAGGAACUUCAGAAAUUCUUUUGCUUCAUCCGCGAUUACCGGUUCAUUAACCAGUGGUUUUGUCCUCUCUUCCCCCUGUUCAAACAUCAAAAAUUCCUCUUUUACAGGCUCGACUUUUGUAUCUGGCGUUCUGACCAGCCUCCCCUCUCCUAAUGACGUCACAUUACAGUUAUAAUUCCAAGGCACAUUUUUGUUGUCCUUGUAAGGAAAAGCCACGGGUUUCUGAAUCACAACUCUUGGCGUCGUUCUUGCUCCAACUUCAUCGACUUUUGAUCGUGAAAUGAUCAUCACUGAGUGAUUGACCUUACAGACCCUCUUUAUUAGCCCCUCCUCCGAGGCGCACACAUCUUUCUCCUCAGCAAACUCAAAGAACUCCAGCUCCUUGUUGUCCAUUAGACCUUGCACCAGGGCUCUGAAUUCAUUGCAUGUUUCAAUCUCAUGGUCCUCCUCUUCGUGGAACUCACAAUAGUUCCUUACUUCUCGGGAUUUGCUCCCAAAGUCUUGCAUGAUUAAACCUCUCUCUACCAUCUUUUUCAAGACCUCCCUCAUCGGGGUUUUCACUUCUGCUACAUCCAACUUAACUCUCAUUCCCAUAUUCUCGACUACCGCAUUUACCCCACUAACAGUAUGAUUGGGUAACGGGUUUCUCGCAUCAGGUGCAUCAUCAAACUUCACAACACCCAUGUUGAUGAGCCUUUUGACUAUCCUUUUGAAGGAGGUGCAAUUCUCUAUCGAGUGUCCCGCGAUGCCCGCAUGAUAUUCACAUUGGGCACUUGCAUCAUACCACUUGGGGUAUGGGGGUUGCAACGGUUUUAAGUAGAACGGGGAUACAACAUGCACAUCGAAUAAAAUUUUGUACAGCUCUCGAUAUGUUAUUGGAAUAAGAGUGAACCAGAGCUUCUCUAUGCUUUGUUUUGUACUGGGCUCCUGUCUUGACGAAGCUUGCUAGCCCGUGAUCGUCGUUUUUGGUUGAUUAACUGUGAUUGGUUUUACAUGACCCAUGCUUACAUUGCCGACCUCAUUUUCUCUCUUCUUCGGGGCUGACCUUCUGGCGCUCUCCCCAGCCUCUAUCUUUCCGCACCUUCUCGCAUUCUCUACCAUUUCACCGGACAUCACUAUGUCUGUGAAACUCUUUGUUGUGCCUCCCAGCAUGUGGUUAAUAGAAGGUGCCUUCAAAGUAUUAAUGAAAAGCAUGGUUGUCUCCUUUUUCCAAAAGCGGCGGUUGAACUUGCGUAGCGACUUCCCUCCACCUCUGAGCAUACUGCUUGAAACUCUCAUUUGACUUCUUCUCCAUGUUCUGUAACGUGAUCUGAUCAAGCACUAUGUCUGUCACAUGGCCAUACUGCUUCAUGAAGGCUUGUGCUAAGUCCCUCCAUAAUUUAAUUUGGGUGCGACUCAACUGAUUGUACCAUUUGACCACAACCCUACUCAGACUAUCCUGGAAAUAGUGAACUAGCAACUGAUCAUUAUUGACAUGACCAGUCAUCCUCCGAAAAAACAUCGUGAUGUAGGCCUCAAGGCAGCUAGUUCCGCUGUAUUUCUCAAACUCUGGCAUUUUGAACUUCGGAGGGAGCACUAGAUUUGGAACCAAACUCAACUCUUUAGCAUCCAUACCACAUUGAUAAUCUGCGCUUUCCAGCAUCUUGAAUUUCUCUUCCAGCCAUUUGUAUCGGACUUCCAGUUGCUCUAAGAGUUCUUCUUUUACCUUCCCCACCUCUGCCAUCUCAUCAAAGUCAGGGACCGAAGGAUUUACCCGAUCGUCAUCGGGUUUAGAACACGAGCCCAUCAAGAAAUUCAUUGGUGCCGAAAUACCAGCCUGAUACUGAGGUUUGAUAUUGACAGACACCCUUUGUGGUGGUACUGGGGUAUUCACUGGGGUGAAACCUGGAGGGUAUGUAAGGAUCUCGCUAUCGCCAUCUGGGUUGACCAUAGGAUUCUUCCCUUUUCCUGGCCCUCUGAGCAACAACUGAGUUAGCUGAUUCAUCAUGUCCUUCUACGAUUAUUGCACCUGAUCUUUCAUAUCCUGUUGAAUCUUGGCCAGUUGUUCUUGCAUCUGUGCUUGCAGCCACUCCUGCAUUUCUUUCUGCAUUCGUUCCAGUUUCUCCAGCUUUUGAUCCAUAAUUUUGGUCUUUUUCCGUGUGUAGUAUUGAUGUUCCAGGGUAACUAUAAUACAAUUACUUUUAAUUAGGGUUCCUUUGUGAAGUUUAAUGCACAUUAUGUUAUAUAAUGCAAAUGCAUGAUAUGUAUGCAAGACUAAAUAAAUGUUGAUUCUGAUUCAAUUUCAAUUAGAAAACUUUAUUAGAAAACAAAAAUCUUUACAUAAAAAAGAUCAUAUAUACGGCUUGGCCUUAAUGCUUAAAGUUUAAAUUCUCUUAAGGAGACAAGCCAGCUCACGACCCCGGUCUGACUCUAACUCAUACUUCACACUUAACACAUUAGCUUGAACCACUAAGGUCUGUAAAUGAUCGGCCACUUCUCGAAUCUGAGCCACAGCUUCGCCCAUUAUAUGAUCUCUAUCCCUGACCUGGUCCUGUGGUCGAUGAAACUGUUCCUUCCAUUGCUCAUUAUUCGACUCAAGGAAUUCAAUUCGAAGCUCACAAUUUUGUAACUCAGCCUCAAGUUCUUCUACCUUUCCUUUCAAAUCUUUGAUUCUACUCAGGCUAACCCUUAGUUCAAUAUCAAAGUUAUGACCACGACUCUGAUGCAAUGCCUUUUCUAAUUCCACUAUCCGAGCUACUAAUAUCUGCUUCUCAUCUUGACCCUCGACCAAACUCUUCUUUAAAGUGCUUUCGCGUGCUCAAGCAUCAUGGAAUCUCUUCUCCCACUGAUCAGCUCUAGCCUUUUCUUCUUGAAUUUCUUGUCGCCACUGCUCCGAUGUCUUUCCCAAUCCGGCUGUUCUCAUCAAUGUACGUAGCUUCUUGUAAUCAGCCUUUUCCCCUUCCUUAACUUCUCGGCCUCGAGUUUCUGAACAUCGGCAUCUAACCUCAAGUGUAUCUUUUCCUCCAAUUGCUCUAUCUUUUUUCCUAACUCUAAAUUUCUCUUUUCGAAGUCAUGCUUUAUGAUCUCUAACUCGGAAGAGACUACUUGUAGGUAUUCUUCCAUAGGUCGAGUGCCUUCUUGCCUUGGUCUGGGGAUAUUAUCAUUAACUCUUCUACCCCACCAACUGUUAUAUUCAGGCUCGUCAUUGGUCCUACAGCAACUCUUUUCAUUCGAUGAAUCUGAUUCCAAGCGCUAGAAAUCUCCUUAAUCUUUUUCUUGUAGUUAACUCUCCCACAUGUGAAUUCAAAUUGAGCUAGCCCAUGCGUUGCCGGUAUAAACUGUCUCGAUCCGUAUUGCCUUAGUACAAGCAAAUGAGCAUAUCCAACGUCUCCCCAAAUUCCAGGUAGAGGUACCCAAUCAAAACUCCCACACCAAUAGAGGAUCUCAUCGGGAACCAACCAAGGAGCUCUCCACUCAACAUCCUCCUCUUGGAGAUUUCAAAGUAGUGUGACCCAAUUUUUCUCUGAUAUGUUAUCUCUUCUAGGUGUAACCGCUAUCUCUCUUAAUGGGGAGUAGUUCUCGGAGAAAACCCGAUAAGAAACUUUAUCUACCUUCCAAAAAUGGCUAUAGAACCAAGCCAACAAUAACUACGCGCACCCUAUAAAUCUGCCUUCUCUAGCUCUCCUGCAUGCAUUCAAAGAUCUAAAUGUCUCAACCAAGAUUGCCGGAAUAGAUGUGACUCAUUUUUCAAGUCAGUCAAAGAGAUCCGAGAUUGCCUCAUCUACAUACCCUAAUGCCCUAGGGAAAAUUAUUAAACCAUAGAUACUCUAGGCAAAGACAUCAACUCUCUUUUUCGUAUCAGGAUGCACUAGAAUCAGAUCCCUCAAACUCCUUCAUGGGAUGCACUUACAUUCCCUUUUUUGCUUGACCCUUGCUGCAAUCCACUGCUCACUCAUCCCUCUAACAUUCAUCAAUUUCUUUACAAAAGGUGGGGCAUUAGUAGCCUUGGAAUAUGCUCUAUCGACCUGAACCUUCGGACAAUGAAGUAAAGCUGUAUAUUCUUCUACGGUGGGUACCAGAUCUACCCUCCCAAAGGUAAAACAACUGUAGGCAGGAUUCCAAUACUGAGUGAGGGCCCGGCAUAAAUGUUCGUCUACCUUGAUGUCAAGUAAGUAAGGCAAAUCCCCAUAACUACCAUAGAACAACCACUUGGUCUCUUCAUCCCACUGGUCCCAUAUCUCUUUUAAUUCUUGAAGAUCAUUUUGCGUCACACUAAUGCGGGUGUAAUCACACAAUUCUGAUGUAUACCCAUCAGCAAGACUGUCCUCUUUCUCUAAUUGUGUUUUCUCUUACCAUAUACGGACAGCGACAUUAUCUUCUACUUUAUCAAGAAAUUCGUUCUCCAUGACAAGCUCCCUAAAUUAGUAAUCGAACGUGAAUCGACACCUCUUUAAAAUGAAAUGACAUGCAACCAUGGCCAAAAUAAAACACAACAAGUUAGUAUAAUAUACCAAAUAUAAAAGUCAAAGUAAAUGAAAAAAUAAUCAAGCACCAACUUGGGUGAUUGCUAGGGUUUGAAGUGACUCUACCUAGGGUUGGGCUCUUAAGGCUCAUUAUAUGCGGUUUGGUUCUAAAGAAAAGGGUACCUGAACCAGCAGAUUCCUCGAUCCUCACCCAUUAUAGCCUCAUAUGGACCGAGUUCAGUUCAGGGGAAUACAUUUCCCUAUGGCGGCACGAAGGUGAAAAUCUCACAAAGACAUAGGUACGGAUGUAUCCCGAAAGCGAUCCACUAUCUUGCACGAAGGUGAAAACCUCACGAAGGAAAUAGUUUCUCACUCCCACUUAAAAGGUGCGACCACAAUGGUCAUGCAAAAUGAUGCAAAGGGAUAUAAAAACUCAAAAUAUAAAACAUGAAUAAAAUGAUGAUCCAUAAAACCAAUUAAAUGCAAUGAAAGGAUCGUAUGUUAAAAAAUCAACUUUUAAUUUUUGAAAAAAGGAUAGAAAAUAAUCAAUUUUACGGCUUGACUCUCUUAUUGUAUAGAAAAUAAUCAAUUUUACGGCUUGACUCUCUUAUUGUCCCCAGUGGAGUCGCCAAGCUGUCGAAACCAUUUUUAUUUUGAAAAACGGAGGUCGACUUUAAAACGAAAAUAGAGUCGCCACCAAUCCUUUUUGUUUAGGUGUGAUCGGGUCAUCUUAUGAUCGAUCAUUUUAAUAAAGCAUUUUGGUUUAUUAAAACAACGUUUUUGGUCUACGAAAAAUUAGAAAAUGGAUUCGGGAGUCAGUUACACGCGAGGAAGGAUUAGCACCCUUGCAACGCCCAAAAUUGAUACCGUAUCGGUCAAUUAACGUCCUAAUGUUGAAAUUUUGAAAAAUAUUUUAAAAUACAAUUUCUUUAAAACGUUUGGAUAACUUGAAUUGGAUAUUGAGAUUCUCUCGUUUAAAAGGAAUAAAAUAUCAUAUCCAGCACGAUAGGAUACAACAUUUCGAACCCUCGAUACAAGAUCAUCUCAUGAUUUGCAAAAUACAUGCAUUUGAAAUUUAAAAAGGAUAUUUGGCUAUUUUGCCAAAUGGUAAAUCGAAACCUAGCACGAUUGGACACGAUUUAUCGAAUUUCCAAAUACGAAAUAUUGCCUCAUGUUAAUUUAAGAAAACAUGGACGAAAUUUCAAAAGGAAUAUUCUGCACUUUAGUCGAAUGAAAAAUUGAAACCCAGCACGAUUGGGCAUGAUCUCUCAAACUCCCCAAAUUCGAAAUAUUGCCUCGUUUUAAUUUAAGAAAACAUGGAUGAAAUUUCAAAAGGAAUAUUCCGCACUUUAGUCGAAUGGAAAAUCGAAACCCAGCACGAUUGGGCACGAUCUCUCAAGCUCCCCAAAUUCGAAAUAUUGCCUCGUUUUAAUUUAAGAAAACAUAGACAAAAUUCCAAAAGGAUAUUUUGUAUUUUAGUCAAAUGAAAAAUCGAAACCCAGCACAAUUGGGCAUGAUCUCUCAAACUCCCAAACACGAAAUAUUUCCUUAUGUUGAGGGGACUCAAGUUAACAAUUAUAAAAAUCGUGUCAAAAUACUUGUUUGGUUUGUUUGGAAAUAAAAGACAAUCAACAUUUAGAGAAUACGAGAAUCAUAAUCAUAAUGCACUAGCAAGAAAUACAAGCAUAAUUACUUGCAUGAAACAAUAAUAGAUUGCUAUACUAUGAAAAUCAGGAAUGACACAUAAUACAUAAAGCAAUAUGAAAAUUUGGAACCGACAUAACGCAAAACAAUUUAAAACCUAUAUGAAAAUAUUUCACAAAGGAAUAACACACGCUAGAAUUCAAAAUACCUUAUAUGUACAUAAAACUGAUAAUAUAUAAACGAUUAUUAAAUUAUAUAAUAAGCAAGAAGCAAUUCAAAAUAAAUAACAUAUAACAUAACUUCAAAUAAAAACCAAUUAAUUUGUCUAACAAUAUAUAUACGCAAGUGAAGAAAUAAUGUAAAUAAGGUAUAUACAAAGAGAUUACUAUAUGAAAGUAAAAUAAUCAAAAUAUACAAUCAAAAAUAGGAUCUUUAAAAGAAAAUAUGCAUAAAUGAAUUUAAAAAGGAGGAAAAUAUAUAUAAUAAGCUUAAGGGAAAAAUAUAUGUAUAUAUAUAACAAAUAUAAAAGAAAAUAUUUACAAAAAAUAAUGUGAAAACGAUAAUGUACAUAGAACAAAACAAAUUUUAACAUAGACUGUAUAUAUACGAAUAACAUAAGGGUGAUUAAAUUAAAUAUUGCACAUAACUUUAAAACAAUAUGACAUAAAAGAAUCUUUUUAAAAUAACAACUAUAUAAUUAAAAAAAUAGAUACCAAUAAAAUACCAAGUUGAAAUGAGGUAAAAAUAAUUAGAAUAACCCAGAAUAUAUAUUUAAAUAAUUUUAAAAGAAACGAAUAUUAAGUAAAUUUUAAAAAUAAAAAAAUAAAAGAUUAAUCAUUGAAAUGGAAAAAUGAACUUAAUUGAUAUAGAAUUGAUCUAAAAUGGAUAAAAUAAAACAUUACAACAAAACUAAGGGCUAAAUCGCAAUGCAUGCAAAUACACAGGGAUUGAAAAUGCAAAUGUUCCAACUCAUAAAAUACACUGCACAAGCGCAGACUGAAUUGAAACAUCGCGCAGACUUUAGAGAGAAAUUGAAAAAGCAUAAUAAGUCGAAUUGAAGAUGGCGCAAACUAGGAAGGACUGGAUGCGAAAUUUCCCAUUUAAAGGGAAAAUGUGCAGAUCCAGCCUUGGACUGGGUCAACGCGCAGGCUACUCCCCCCACAAUGGUUCUGCUGUUUAAAAAAAUUAAUUGAAACUUCUAUUUUGUUUCUUUUUCUUUAAAACAUUAAAACCUUUUAGAAAACCCUAAAAUUUUAAAAUAUCAUUCUCUUCAUUUUUUCUAAAAAAAACAGAGAGAAGGCUUUCAAAUCUCUUUCCCUUUUCGACCAAAGCCACCUUCAUCGGAGAUCCGGCGCGCCCAGACUACCAACGACGGGGAAAAAAAACUUAAAAUCACCUUUAACGAGUAUUGUUGCUUUUGAUCUCUGUUUGUGCUUGGUUUUGUGUAUACUUUUGUAUUCAAAUCGUAAAAAAAAGGGCCCCUUUACAAUACAUUUUCAAAGGCUUUUAUAGCCAAUUUUACAACCUAUUUUACUUCUUUGCAGGUUCAUGGGUGUGCAUGUCUCUAACGUGGCGUGGUGGAGCGGCGCACGUUGUCGGGAGGUGGCUUUUGGUGCGUGAGGGAGGCGUGCGGCGACUGAGACCUUUAGGUAGAUUAGCGUUUUUUCAAAAAUGUUAAGGUGUUGGGCUAGAACUUUUGGCUAGGGUUAGGUAUUUGGAUUGGGUUUCAGGUUUGGGCCUAUUGUAAUUGGGUUUGAGUGUAUUUAUUUUUGCUUGUGUGUUUAGUUUUUUUUAAUGGUUUGGGCCGGGCAAUUUUGGGCCAUAACAGAACGCUAUCGUGCAUUGAGCAAAAUUUCAGACCAUCCAACGCAUUUGCUCAUAUGAGUGAGAAGAUUUUUUUCUAACCAUUAAAAAUCAUGGUUGUGUUGGUGAUGUUUUGGUAACUUUUUAUAUAUGUAAUAUUUAGAUUGUAUAAUGACAUGAUAGAAUGCCACGUACUAUUGUAACUUUUUAACAUAUAUAUUAUGACAUAUAAGGUAAUGAUAUCAUAUAACUUUUUGUUAAUGUUUGAAUAUUAUGUUUGGAUGUAAAAUAUAAUUCUCAAUUUAUUUACUUCUUCUAA
RNAcentral lists this long non-coding RNA (15409 nucleotides) under Gossypium barbadense (sea-island cotton). Its description in RNAcentral is "long non-coding RNA (GBAR_LNC000394)". Lineage: Eukaryota; Viridiplantae; Streptophyta; Magnoliopsida; Malvales; Malvaceae. The record is from RNAcentral.